RNAcentral lists this ribosomal RNA (447 nucleotides) under Ignambia fasciculata. Its description in RNAcentral is "partial 16S ribosomal RNA". The record is from RNAcentral. Lineage: Eukaryota; Metazoa; Arthropoda; Insecta; Coleoptera; Scarabaeidae.
CAUGUCUUUUUGAUUAUAAUUUAAAGUCUAACCUGCCCUAUGAAUUUUAAAUGGCCGCGGUAUUUUGACCGUGCAAAGGUAGCAUAAUAAUUAGUUUUUUAAUUGGGAACUGGUAUGAAUGGUUGGACGAGAAAAAUACUGUCUCAAUUUAAUUUGGAUUAGAAUUUUAUUUUUGAGUAAAAAAGCUUAAAUAAUUUUAAAAGACGAGAAGACCCUAUAGAGUUUAAUAUUAUUUUAAUAUUUUUAAGAAUUAAAGUAUUUUAGGUUUAGUUAUAUUAAUUAAUAUUUAAUUGGGGUGAUUGAAAAAUUUAAAUAACUUUUUUUAAAUAAAAACAUUAAUUUAUGAAUAAAUGAUCCAUAUAUGUUUAUGAUUAUAAGAAUAAAUUACCUUAGGGAUAACAGCGUUAUUUUUUUUGAGAGUUCUUAUCGAAAAAAAAGUUUGCGACC